Molecule: long non-coding RNA, 734 nt
Organism: Lagenorhynchus albirostris (white-beaked dolphin)
Lineage: Eukaryota; Metazoa; Chordata; Mammalia; Artiodactyla; Delphinidae
Exons: 3
Source: RefSeq, a predicted model, not a curated record
CCCGGCGCCGCUGCGCCCGCCGAGGGAGCGUGGGGAUAUUGCGGCCCCACCUAGCCCAGCGGCUAUGCGAGGGGGCAGCUGGUCGGGCGCCGCCGGUUGGACUCGCAGAGCCAGGCGCUCACAAGGCUCAGGACAACGUGGCCGCGUCCGAGCGGAUCCCGGCAGCCCCGCAGACCUCACCCCGGCGCGAGCGGAAGGGGCGGCUCGGGGGCGGGGCUUGGCUCAGGCCUCCUGCGCACGGCAAGAUUUCCUGGAUUCAGGCCUGGAUGAUUUCCUCCGCAGAGCCUGGAAUGUGCACGUGAUGGUAGGAGGUUGACCAGCUGUCCUGGACCAUGAGACAAUCUUGAGGAUGGAAGCCUGCACUAAGAUGAUAUAGUAAAAGAUGAUUGAUUGGACUUCCCUGGUGGCACAGUGGUUAAGAAUCCUCCUGCCAAUGCAGGGGACAUGGGUUCCAGCCCUGGUCUGGGAAGAUCCCACAUGCCACGGAGCAACUAAGCCUGUGCGCCACAACUACUGAGCCUGUGCUCUAGAGCCCGCGAGCCACAACUACUGAGCCUGCACGCCACAGCUACUGAAGCCCACGUGCCUAGAGCCCAUGCUCCACAACAAGAGAAGUCACUGCAAUGAGAAGCCUGUGCACCGCAAGGAAGAGUAGCCCCCAUUCACUGCAACUAGAGAAAGCCUGUGUGCAGCAACAAAGACCCAAAGCAGCCAAAAAUAAAUAAAUUUAUUAA